This 68-nucleotide transfer RNA is filed under the name Choeras grammatitergitus. Its description in RNAcentral is "tRNA-Asn". Lineage: Eukaryota; Metazoa; Arthropoda; Insecta; Hymenoptera; Braconidae. The record is from RNAcentral.
UUAAUUGAAACCAAAAUAGAGGUAUAUUAUUGUUAAUAAUUUAAUUGAAUAAAAAUUUUCCAAUUAAA